RNAcentral lists this ribosomal RNA (468 nucleotides) under uncultured bacterium. Its description in RNAcentral is "partial 16S ribosomal RNA". It matches the Rfam family "Bacterial small subunit ribosomal RNA", at positions 28 to 507 of the family's 1533-position model. The record is from RNAcentral.
GACGAACGCUGGCGGCGUGCUUAACACAUGCAAGUCGAACGGAGAGGCCCUGCUUUUGUGGGGUGCUCGAGUGGCGAACGGGUGAGUAACACGUGAGUAACCUGCCCUUGACUUUGGGAUAACUUCAGGAAACUGGGGCUAAUACCGGAUAGGAGCUCCUGCUGCAUGGUGGGGGUUGGAAAGUUUCGGCGGUUGGGGAUGGACUCGCGGCUUAUCAGCUUGUUGGUGGGGUAGUGGCUUACCAAGGCUUUGACGGGUAGCCGGCCUGAGAGGGUGACCGGCCACAUUGGGACUGAGAUACGGCCCAGACUCCUACGGGAGGCAGCAGUGGGGAAUAUUGCACAAUGGGCGGGAGCCUGAUGCAGCAACGCCGCGUGCGGGAUGACGGCCUUCGGGUUGUAAACCGCUUUCGCCUGUGACGAAGCGUGAGUGACGGUAAUGGGUAAAGAAGCACCGGCUAACUACGUG